CGGGCGGCUCCGGGAUCCCCAGAUCCCAGGGGAGGGAUCCGGGGGGAUCCGGGGGGAUCCGGGGGGAUCCGAGCGUCCGAGGAUCCCGCGGGGACGGACGGACAGUCCGGGAAUCCUCGCCAGUCCGGUCCUGGGGAGAGCCGUGGGGAUCCGGGAAAGGGAUCCAGGAGGGAUCCGGUGGGAUCUGUGGGAGAUCUGGUGAAUCCAAACGGGAUCUGGUGCGGCCAGGAGGGCCCUGGAGGAUCCCAGGCGAGUCUGGAGGAUCCGUGUGGGAUGCGGAGGAUCCGGGAGGGAUCUGCUGGAUCCAAGUGGGGCCUGCUGGAACCAGGAGGGAUCUGGAGGGUCCAGGAGGGAUCUGGUGCUGAGGAGGAUCCUUGGAAGCUUCAGAAAGUGCUGGGAGAGGAGCUCGGGGAGAGUCCCGGGGCGGGAUCAGGGCUGGGAUCUGGUGGGAUCCGGGCUGGGAUCGGGGUGGGAAUCUGGGCUGGAAUCCUCGCUGUAAGCUGGCUGGAUCCCGAUGGAUCCCGGCUGGAUCCCAGUGGAUCCCUCCUCAGUCGCUGCAGCACUGCCCUGGCCCUGCAGGCUGGGCUGGAGCUUGAUCCCACUGGAUCCUGGCUGGAUCCCAGCUGGAUUUGGGCUGGAUCCUGGCUUGCUCCCAGUGGAUCCCAGCUGGAUUUGAGCUGGAUUCCGGCAGAUCCCUCAGUUGCUGCAGCACUGCCCGUGGGGGCUGGGCGUAGGUCAGAUUCCAUCAGAUGUCAGCAGAUCCCAGCAGAUCCCGGCAGAUCCCGGCAGAUCCCGGCAGAUCCCAUCAGAUCCCGGCGGAUCCCAGCGGAUCCCUCAGUUGCUGCAGCACUGCCCGCGGGGGCUGGGUGUGGGUCGGAUCCCAGCGGAUGUCAGCAGAUCCCAGCAGAUGUCAGUAGAUCCCAGCAGAUCCCAUCAGAU
This 939-nucleotide long non-coding RNA is filed under the name Cyanistes caeruleus (blue tit). RNAcentral describes it as "lncRNA (ENSCCEG00000000297.1)". The record is from RNAcentral. Lineage: Eukaryota; Metazoa; Chordata; Aves; Passeriformes; Paridae.